GUGCCAGCCGCCGCGGUAAUACGAAUGGGGCGAGCGUUGUUCGGAAUCACUGGGCUUAAAGCGUGCGUAGGCGGAUAUGAAAGUCAGAAGUGAAAGCCCAGGGCUCAACCCUGGAACUGCUUUUGAAACUUCAUAUCUAGAGUCCCGGAGAGGUUAACGGAAUUCCGAGUGUAGAGGUGAAAUUCGCAGAUAUUCGGAGGAACACCAGUGGCGAAGGCGGUUAACUGGACGGGUACUGACGCUGAGGUACGAAAGCGUGGGGAGUAAACAGGAUUAGAUACCCCAGUAGUCC
RNAcentral lists this ribosomal RNA (292 nucleotides) under uncultured bacterium. Its description in RNAcentral is "partial 16S ribosomal RNA". It matches the Rfam family "Bacterial small subunit ribosomal RNA", at positions 505 to 796 of the family's 1533-position model. The record is from RNAcentral.